CAGCUCUGCUCCAGUGUCCUGCUCCUAUUUUCUCUGCUUUGAUAGAGGGACAAGAAAUAAAAGACACCAACAUUGGGUCCAGUUCUCCUAAAAAGAAGGCUGGCCUACACAACUCUCAAGGACAGUACCCUUUCCAAGAGGUCCACUCAGCUGGUUAAUGUGAGAAACUGAGAAAGAAGAGAGAGAAGAUUUACAUGUGGAACUUGGGUGAGACUUUGGUACACUGGACUCCAAUCAAUCCAUCAGACUUUUGCUUUCAGAUUCUGGGAAAUAUAUGUAAGAUAUGUAGACUGGAGAUUUGGGAGAGCAUUUUUGCCUAACAAGCAAAGUGGUUAAUUUGAUGUGUUGAAAAAACACAAAGCCCCUGAAAUGAAAGACUGAUUAUCAUUACCAAUAAUCUUCGGUUUACUCUAUCCUUUUCCUAGUUGUGUGUUGUGUGAUCCCAACCAGAAGAAAAACAUUCAAGUACACAAAAACAGAUCGGCCUACCGCUCAGGAUGACUUUUGUUACCAUGGCAAUGCUAAUCCCUACCCUAGCUCUUCUGGUCUUGCCCGGCUCAGGUCUGGGAUGCGUAACACAUCUGGACAGGAUGAGGACUGCUAUACUAUUAGGCACAGACACUAAACUAAAUUGGAGUUACAGCCAGGAUAUCUGUAGAAAUGAUUACACUGAUCUUGUCACUAUAUAUAACGACGAAGAUAGUAGAAAACUACUAGUACUAGUAGGGCCAGGGGGUUGGUUUGGUCUCGAGAAAGGAGAUUAUACAUAUAAAUGGUCAAAUGGUGAUCCUUUUAUUUAUAAACCAAAUCCUCUAAAUUCUCCAAAUCCUCCGGUCUGUGUGGCUAUGACGGCAAAUGGGGCAUGGGACACAUUGAUGUGCAACCAAAGCAGAUCAUUCAUCUGUUACAGUGAUGAACCUGUUAAUUCCUCCGUGAAUCAUCAGAUCAACAUUACAAAGACUUGGUUUAAUGCUCAAAACUAUUGCAGAACUCACUUCACUGACCUGGUCAGCAUCAGAAACGAUGAGCAGAACAAAGCUGUACUGAAAAAGAAGUCACACACAGACCCUACCUGGAUUGGUUUGAUAGGAGACAGUUGGGAGUGGUCUGAUGGCGGACUGUCAGGAUAUAGGAGCUGGAGUGGGGAUACACAUCACAAUGAAAAUCUGGCAUAUUUGAGUACAGGUGGAUGGGGAACAAACAAUAAACCAACAAAUGAAAAGGCAUACUUCUGCUACAAAGGUAUAUAUUUGAACAUAUUUAGAC
This is a long non-coding RNA of Clupea harengus (Atlantic herring), 1266 nucleotides long. RefSeq lists it as uncharacterized. The record is from RefSeq and is a predicted model, not a curated record. The transcript is spliced from 4 exons. Lineage: Eukaryota; Metazoa; Chordata; Actinopteri; Clupeiformes; Clupeidae.